RNAcentral lists this ribosomal RNA (253 nucleotides) under uncultured bacterium. RNAcentral describes it as "partial 16S ribosomal RNA". It matches the Rfam family "Bacterial small subunit ribosomal RNA", at positions 524 to 776 of the family's 1533-position model. The record is from RNAcentral.
UACAGAGGGUGCGAGCGUUCAUCGGAAUUACUGGGCGUAAAGCGCGCGUAGGCGGCUUUGCAAGUCGGGUGUGAAAUCCCCAGGCUUAACCUGGGAACUGCAUUCGAGACUGCAUUGCUAGAGUAUGGGAGAGGGAAGUGGAAUUUCCUGUGUAGCGGUGAAAUGCGUAGAUAUCGUAAGGAACAUCAGUGGCGAAAGCGACUUCCUGGACCAAUACUGACGCUCAUGUGCGAAAGCGUGGGGAGCAAACAGG